Long non-coding RNA from Colossoma macropomum (tambaqui), 682 nucleotides. RefSeq lists it as uncharacterized. The record is from RefSeq and is a predicted model, not a curated record. The transcript has 3 exons. NCBI's taxonomy places the organism in Eukaryota, Metazoa, Chordata, Actinopteri, Characiformes, Serrasalmidae.
CUGAACCCCCUCUCCGUUUUUAAUUGCGCGCGCGGACAUCGGUUCAAAACAGUCGGAGAGGACAGUCGGAGAGGACAACUACUUUAUUCUGCUUGCUUCUGCUGCUUGGAACCUUAAUUUGACAGAACAUAUGGUCAGUUCCUAAAAGAGCACUGCAUAGCAUAGGAGGCCAGUUACUGUUGACCCCAAAGAGAUUUCUACUGAUACAUUGACAAGGUAUGUCUUCCUCUACUUGAACUUGAAACUGAACAUUUUAUUUAUUUUAUGAGAAGAGCAAUCGUUCACACAAGAACAAGGUAAUAUUCAAUUCAUUAAAUAUUUUAGAAUGUGUGGAAUAUGUACAUUAGCUAAAGUAUAUGGUCAUAGUAAAAUAUUUAAUUUUCUUUGUUUUCAUUACAUGGCGGAGUCUGACAGAUUGUUAUUAAGAGUCUUCGUAGUCACAGAUAUUGCUCACAAGAUGUUGCUUCCAACAUGCCCCACAUCAGUGCAAGAGCUAAUCACCAUAAUGCGAGAGAAAUUUAAACCUCAUCUUGAUUUUGACUUCAACUUACAAUAUGAAGACUCUGACUUUGGAGGACAGCUCUGCAUUCUUUCAGACAUUACAGAACUGCCACAAAAGGCUGUAGAGAAGGUUUUCAGAUCAGAGAGUGAUACUAGCUCAACUGGAACUUCAGACACAGAU